Molecule: ribosomal RNA, 348 nt
Filed under: uncultured fungus
Lineage: Eukaryota; Fungi
Description: eukaryotic LSU rRNA
Rfam family: 5.8S ribosomal RNA (bases 1-71)
Source: RNAcentral
GUGAAUCAUCGAAUCUUUGAACGCACCUUGCGCUCCUUGGUAUUCCGAGGAGCAUGCCUGUUUGAGUGUCAUGAAUAUCUCAGCCCGAAAGUUGAAUUUUUGAAAUACAACUGAGGGUUGGACUUGGAGGUAUUGCUGGCCUAGAGUCAGCUCCUCUCUAAAUGUAUUAGCAAAAUCUUUCAAGAUGUAGCUCAGUGUGAUAAAUUAUCUUACAUUGUGCAUAUGCGUCUUGCUUGUGCUACCCUGCCUCUAGUGCGGAUGUGUGGCAAAGAUUGAGCUUCUAACUGUCAUUAGACAAUCUAAUUGACAUCUGACCUCAAAUCAGGUAGGACUACCCGCUGAACUUAA